Molecule: long non-coding RNA, 730 nt
Organism: Callorhinchus milii (elephant shark)
Lineage: Eukaryota; Metazoa; Chordata; Chondrichthyes; Chimaeriformes; Callorhinchidae
Exons: 4
Source: RefSeq, a predicted model, not a curated record
CUCUCCCUCCCUCCUCCCUCCCUCUCUCUCUCUCUCUAGCUAUGUGUACACAUUAAUCUCUGGGGCUGUUGGCACACUGCCAGUAUAUGUGUUGUCUUGCAUCCUUUGCAUAUAGUAGAAUCCUUGAGCUAUUGCAGACGCAACCAACUGCUCCAUAUUUGGCUUAUGUUACACACACACACACACACACUUGCAGAGAGCUGCUGGAGGAGAGAGAGAGAGACAGAGACAGAGAGCAAGAGCGCUGUCUGCAGACAGACAUUACUACAGAACUACAGCUCGACUUCCUUCAGCAAAGACUCCUGCCUUUCCUUAUUUCUGCUCACAAACCAGCAAAGGCCUCUUCGAUACUGUGGUCCCAACUGAGGCUGAACCCUCUGACCUUACCAUCUGUAUAGCCUAGUGUUGCAGCCGCUAUCCACUGGGCCAUUGAUGCAGCUUCCAACAGCAGCUCAGAGCUGUGUCACCUUCCUAAACAAGCGGACAGGGCCUUGGUUAACAACUGAUCCAAAGGGUGUCACCUCUGACAGCAGCCUGGUGAGAAUUAUCAGAUGAUCAUGUCUCAUCAUUUCAAAUAAAGAACAAGAAAAAUGAAACACCAGUGACGUACUCUUAAGCAACAUGAUGAAUUUCUGAACGCAGCUGGGAGAGAGAAAUCGCUGAGUGGAAGUGAACCACUUCCUCAGUAGAAUGAAGAAAUCAGAUGAUGAGUCAAAGCCCUGCCAUCUAG